RNAcentral lists this long non-coding RNA (394 nucleotides) under Helianthus annuus (common sunflower). RNAcentral describes it as "sRNA HanXRQr2_Chr14g0623641". The record is from RNAcentral. Lineage: Eukaryota; Viridiplantae; Streptophyta; Magnoliopsida; Asterales; Asteraceae.
UCUCUCUAUCUUAAUCUUCUUCAUAUCUUCAAGUCUUGUUCUUGAAGAUUCAACAUCCUUUCUAGUAAACUUCAAGAUAGUGUGAAGAUCUAAGGUUGUUCCCAAGGUGUUGUCAAGUGAAUACAAGCUUCCUAUCAUCCCAUAACUUACUUGAAUCUUGAAGUGUUUCAUGUUCUUGAAUGAUGGAAAAAAUGCAAGUGAAGUUGCUUAGUGUUGAUUGCGAAUAGGAAGCAUGCUCACUUAGGACCGGACGAGGCCUUAGUGAUUUAAUAAUGAUAUUAGUCUAUGUUUGAUUUGCUUGUUUAACUUUAAAACAAUGUUUAAUAUUUAAUGAAAUGAAACUCUUCGUAUCCAUGGUUUGAAACAAUAAUUCUGUUACAACACUCCCCGGCGU